Molecule: ribosomal RNA, 887 nt
Filed under: uncultured bacterium
Lineage: Bacteria
Description: bacterial SSU rRNA
Rfam family: Bacterial small subunit ribosomal RNA
Source: RNAcentral
CGCUGGCGGCAGGCCUAACACAUGCAAGUCGAGCGGAUGAAGGGAGCUUGCUCCUGGAUUCAGCGGCGGACGGGUGAGUAAUGCCUAGGAAUCUGCCUGGUAGUGGGGGAUAACGUCCGGAAACGGGCGCUAAUACCGCAUACGUCCUGAGGGAGAAAGUGGGGGAUCUUCGGACCUCACGCUAUCAGAUGAGCCUAGGUCGGAUUAGCUAGUUGGUGGGGUAAAGGCCUACCAAGGCGACGAUCCGUAACUGGUCUGAGAGGAUGAUCAGUCACACUGGAACUGAGACACGGUCCAGACUCCUACGGGAGGCAGCAGUGGGGAAUAUUGGACAAUGGGCGAAAGCCUGAUCCAGCCAUGCCGCGUGUGUGAAGAAGGUCUUCGGAUUGUAAAGCACUUUAAGUUGGGAGGAAGGGCAGUAAGUUAAUACCUUGCUGUUUUGACGUUACCAACAGAAUAAGCACCGGCUAACUUCGUGCCAGCAGCCGCGGUAAUACGAAGGGUGCAAGCGUUAAUCGGAAUUACUGGGCGUAAAGCGCGCGUAGGUGGUUCAGCAAGUUGGAUGUGAAAUCCCCGGGCUCAACCUGGGAACUGCAUCCAAAACUACUGAGCUAGAGUACGGUAGAGGGUGGUGGAAUUUCCUGUGUAGCGGUGAAAUGCGUAGAUAUAGGAAGGAACACCAGUGGCGAAGGCGACCACCUGGACUGAUACUGACACUGAGGUGCGAAAGCGUGGGGAGCAAACAGGAUUAGAUACCCUGGUAGUCCACGCCGUAAACGAUGUCGACUAGCCGUUGGGAUCCUUGAGAUCUUAGUGGCGCAGCUAACGCGAUAAGUCGACCGCCUGGGGAGUACGGCCGCAAGGUAAAACUCAAAGGAAUUGACGGC